This is a long non-coding RNA of Astatotilapia calliptera (eastern happy), 1230 nucleotides long. The record is from Ensembl. Lineage: Eukaryota; Metazoa; Chordata; Actinopteri; Cichliformes; Cichlidae.
GAAAACAAAAAGAGGAAGAAGAGUUGAAGCCUGCUCAUAACUCGGCCUCUAAAAAUGGGAUCAAGGCACAGAACAAAAAGGGGGAUAAGUGAAGGAAAUGAAGAGAUGGAUGGGGAUCCCUUAUCCUACAGCCUGCUUUCUGUUAAUCACGUUCUUCUGAUCACAUCACAUCCUUUCCACUACCCCUAAGGCCCAGCUAUAAAAACCUCUGACUUUGCCACUGCGGGACCCAGUGCUUGUUUGUGAGCUCCUAAAAAUCCACAUAAAUGUUUCCUUUGCUUAAUUAGAAAUAUUCUGUUUUAAUUUACAUUGCUGCUUUCCUUCUCCAAACUAUCACUUUCAUUAUGGCUUAUUUUUUAACUUCUAUAUGGUCUUAAUAAUCAACUUUAGGAAUUUUGCUCAUUUAAGUGUUGAUCGUGUCAUCAGAGCAGCUCUGGCUUUGACUCUGGCUCUGGCUUUUUCCACCACAUUCCUUUUAAUGCUAUAUCAAAGUAGGACAUGGGGAAUUUGAAUGCUGGGUUGUUGUCUUGAAUCCUUUGUCUGCUCGUUGCAUCAGUCAUCAUCGGUUUUUAAGUAUUUUUUUUUUCUUUGUUUGUUUUUUUUCACCCAGGACUUGUUGCAUUGCAAAGAUAAGAUGAUCAUUGUUACGCACUUCAGCUUCCUCAGUGUCGUAGCAGAUCAGUGUAUGGUGCAGAUAGACAUUAGUAUGUUCAUUUCCUGUCUGAAAACCUCACACUGCGAGCUGACGUUACCCUGUGCUUAUUUUGGUGUGAAAAGUGGCUUCCCGCUCUAACUUUAACUCUUACCACUUCCUGCAGACAUAGAAUAAAAAUCAGCCUAACCCUGAGUUUGAAAUUGAACAUUUUCUGUUUAGUUUGAGUACAUACUCCAAGUAUAUGUUAUUGCAAAUGAUUGGGACAUAUAUUGUACUGCUUUGUCACAGCUGUGCCAUGUCACUGACCCUAUGAACUGUAACUCUUUUGCUCACAUUUUACAGAUAACGAGGGCACUUAGUAACUUUUGCAGUAUUAGUUUAAACACCUGUCUGUGGACUGAUGUGGCAAAUUAGAAUACUGGCAUUUUGGCAUAUUUCAUUUCAUGUUAUUUUCACAUGGUUAUUAGGACAAACCCCAAAUGUUUAUCCCAUUUUAGGCUCAAAACAGACACGAACAAGGUAGCUGCACAUUGAAAGAUAAUAAUAAGGUUUUACUAAGAAGCCAGUGGUUCAAU